AUAAAAAUCUUAAAUAAGAGAAGUAACUAGGAUCAUAAAAUGACAGAAAGCUUCGUUUGAUGAGAAGAAGUAUUUUAUCCCUAGCGAAUGGACUUAUUCGAGCAUUCUUGAAUCAUAGUAGGGAAUGACGGGCACUCCCGUUAUAGAGUCAAAUCGUUGUUAGACGAUGAGAGUAUUAUUGAAUAUUUUCAAUAAUAAAGUGAGGUGGUACCGUGCUGUUUGCGCCCUCAGA
Molecule: non-coding RNA, 232 nt
Filed under: Enterococcus hermanniensis
Lineage: Bacteria; Bacillati; Bacillota; Bacilli; Lactobacillales; Enterococcaceae
Description: T-box sequence
Rfam family: T-box leader
About the family: Uncharged tRNA acts as the effector for transcription antitermination of genes in the T-box leader family. T-boxes are found upstream of many aminoacyl-tRNA synthetase genes and some amino acid biosynthetic genes usually in Gram-positive bacteria.
Source: RNAcentral